GGACAAGGCCCGGGCGGCACAGGCCGCUCCACGGCACAGUGCCAGUCCUGGUAUGGACACCCAGAGCAGGAUGGAGAUGGGGCAGGGUGCUGCCCCCGAGGUAUUGUGGUGUGCCUCCUGACGCCCAUCCUCACAAUGCUGCAGGGCCCCUGGUGAAGGCAAAGACUGUGAAGAAGCCGGAGGGCACAGAUACCCCCCGCACCUCUCGUGCCAGUGCUCUCCAGGCAGUGGCUGCCUCGGUGCAGAGAGCGGUGGCUGUGGCAGGUGGUGAGGUGCCCGUCAGCCGUGGGGCCAUCGAGGGCAUCCUCAUUAAACACGUGCUGGACCCAAACAGCUCCAAGAUGGGCAGCAGAGCUGGUGACAAGCCAUAUACCCCAACUGCCUGCGAGGAGCCAGAGGCCAGGAGCAGAAGCCACAGCCUGAAGCCUCCCGCCCAGCCCAAGAACAGGGAACCACAAUUGCACCCCCAGGGCCAGCUGCAAGCAGCCACUGUCUACAGCCAGGACCCUGCGCCCCACCAGGUGAGCCCUCGAUGUGACACCUGGUGCAGCCCCAGGAGGAACUGUUGGGGUUCCCCUGGCAUGUUCAUUUGCCUUGGCCAUGAAAAGAAAACACAGGGUUCAGCUCCUGGGGGUUCACCACAUUACAACCCCCAAGAAACAGGCAAUCUUACCACCCUGAAAGGAUUGGUAUGUUUGGUGCAGGGUGGGUGAUGCAGGGGGAGAGGGCAAGGGCGGUGAAAUACCUGGCCACAGCCAUGGAUUCAGCCCGUGAGGGUGGCAGUGACCCCUGCCCACUCCCCCGGGGACAGGAGAAUGAGGAUGAGUGUGCAGCAUGCGGUGACGGUGGUGAGCUCAUCUGCUGUGACGGCUGCCCCAGGGCCUUUCACCUUGCCUGCCUGGUGCCCCCGCUGCCCCACGUCCCCAGGUGAGUCCCAGGCACGCAGCGAUGCCAGUGCCCCCGCUGCCCCACGUCCCCAGGUGAGUCCCAGGCACGCAGCGAUGCCAGUGCCCCCUGCCGUCCCUC
Molecule: long non-coding RNA, 1026 nt
Filed under: Zonotrichia albicollis (white-throated sparrow)
Lineage: Eukaryota; Metazoa; Chordata; Aves; Passeriformes; Passerellidae
Description: lncRNA (ENSZALG00000010746.1)
Source: RNAcentral